UUAGAUAGUAUUGUACAUAUACUAUCCGCCCGGGAACUACGAGCACUAGCUUAAAACCCAAAGGACUNGGCGGUGUUUUAGAUCCACCUAGAGGAGCCUGUUCUAGAACCGAUAACCCCCGUUAAACCUCACCUUCUUUUGUUCUUACCGCCUAUAUACCGCCGUCGUCAGCUUACCCUGUAAAGGAUUUACAGUAAGCAAAAUUGGUAUAACCCAAAACGCCAGGUCGAGGUGUAGCAAAUAAGAGGGGAAGAAAUGGGCUACAUUCCCUGCCCCAGGGAAUACGAACAAUGUGAUGAAACCACAUUUGAAGGAGGAUUUAGCAGUAAGCAGGAAAUAGAGCG
RNAcentral lists this ribosomal RNA (344 nucleotides) under Heterochromis multidens. RNAcentral's name for it is "partial 12S ribosomal RNA". It matches the Rfam family "Bacterial small subunit ribosomal RNA", at positions 801 to 1356 of the family's 1533-position model. The record is from RNAcentral. Lineage: Eukaryota; Metazoa; Chordata; Actinopteri; Cichliformes; Cichlidae.